GGUGGUGGAGUGUCGUUUUCGGAGGUGGUGGGUGCUCGAUGGCAGGUGGUGGGUGCUCGAUGUCGGAGGUGGUGGGUGCUCGAUUUGAUUUUGGUGACUGUGGGGUUGAUAUGUUUUGGAUUGGAUGGCGAUGAUGCAAAAAAAAAAA
This is a long non-coding RNA of Helianthus annuus (common sunflower), 148 nucleotides long. RefSeq lists it as uncharacterized. NCBI's taxonomy places the organism in Eukaryota, Viridiplantae, Streptophyta, Magnoliopsida, Asterales, Asteraceae. The record is from RefSeq and is a predicted model, not a curated record. The transcript is spliced from 2 exons.